Molecule: long non-coding RNA, 216 nt
Organism: Solanum tuberosum (potato)
Lineage: Eukaryota; Viridiplantae; Streptophyta; Magnoliopsida; Solanales; Solanaceae
Exons: 3
Source: RefSeq, a predicted model, not a curated record
GUUAAUGAAGUUGAAUGGAAAUUCUUGAAAAUGAGUGAAAGAAAUAAAGCUAAUAAAGCAAAACAAGAAAUACCUCAUAUUUGUGGAAGAAAAUCCUUCCGAGCAAUAUCUUUUGAAAAGAGAGACACAAACACUAGAAAAGAGCCAAAUUUUUUGAAACUUUGGGAGUUGACUCACAUGAAGAACGGACAUUGGGUUAAUGAUGUAUCUUCUGAA